AACUCUCUUUUUCUCCUUGUUUCUCAGAAAAUCCAAAUAGUUAUCUCGAAUCAAAACUUCAAUAAGGCUAUUCAUUGUCUCUUGUUUGCAAUGAACCUCGCCGGUGCUUCCUGUAAUUUUGUUUGUGAAGGCUAAUAAGGCAAAGUUUCUGAGACUGUGAGCUUUCAGAGGUUUGCUAGUGCUGAUCUGUCUGAACGUUUUAAGAAGAAGAAAUUCAAGUCGCUUAUCCCUCAGAUCGUUCAAGUUAUUUAUCUCGGAUCUUUGUCCAUGUUCUCAGUUGGAGCUGUGACACUUGCAUGCUCUUAUUUAAGCUCAGGUGCGAUUGUGUCCUUUAUGACAUCAUUAGCUUUCUUGAUCGAGCCUGUCCAUGCAUAUACAAAUCUACUUUUGCUUAGUUCAGUAUACUUGAGAAUCUAAAGAAGGUUUAUACAUAACUAUCUCUCUCUUUUACUUUCACUUGUAUGCUACUAACUCUAUGGUAUAUAGCCCCAAAAGUUCUUCCACGGUUUGCCUUUACUUCUUGUAUAUAGAUGUACGCAAUGAAGACACCUUUGUGCUCCACACUGAAAAUAGUAAGAAAACAAUGGAAGCGGCAGUGGUAGUGAGCAGAGGAGGCGACUGCGGUAACUAGCAAAAAUUGCUUCUCAACACUUGAUUGCAGAGAUGUAAGGGCUGGACCUUGAAGACUGUCGUGAAAAAGAGCCUCUUGGUCAUGGGUUCUAUGCAGACUUCACUAUGGCAACAAGGAUAACAAUGCCAGCCUUCAUCACCGAGUGUGUUGUAUUUUUCUUUGAGUUCAUGUGUUUCAUGAAUUUAUUUUGUAUGUUUUGAAUCUUUACUGGAAAAAGAUAUUGUAUUUUAUGAUUUA
This is a long non-coding RNA of Brassica oleracea var. oleracea, 868 nucleotides long. RefSeq lists it as uncharacterized. The record is from RefSeq and is a predicted model, not a curated record. The transcript has 4 exons. NCBI's taxonomy places the organism in Eukaryota, Viridiplantae, Streptophyta, Magnoliopsida, Brassicales, Brassicaceae.